GAUGAACGCUGACAGAAUGCUUAACACAUGCAAGUCGAUGGGGAAGCGGCGCUUGCGCCGUGGCAACCAUGGCGGACGGGUGAGUAACGCGUAAAGAACUUGCCGGAUGGACCGGGAUAACAGCUGGAAACGGCUGGCAAGACCGGAUACUGUGGGCUGGCCGCAUGGCUGGCCCAUGAAAAGGGAUGCCGUCCGAGAGCUUUGCGUCCUAUUAGCUGGUUGGUAAGGUGACGGCUUACCAAGGCGAUGAUAGGUAGCCGGCCUGAGAGGGUGGACGGCCACAAGGGGACUGAGAUACGGCCCUUACUCCUACGGGAGGCAGCAGUGGGGAAUAUUGGACAAUGGGGGCAACCCUGAUCCAGCAAUUCUGUGUGCACGAAGAAGGUUUUCGGAUCGUAAAGUGCUUUCAGCAGGGAGGAAGGAAGUGACUUACCUGCAGAAGAGCGCGC
This 449-nucleotide ribosomal RNA is filed under the name Leptotrichia sp. oral taxon 498. Its description in RNAcentral is "bacterial SSU rRNA". It matches the Rfam family "Bacterial small subunit ribosomal RNA", at positions 28 to 494 of the family's 1533-position model. Lineage: Bacteria; Fusobacteriati; Fusobacteriota; Fusobacteriia; Fusobacteriales; Leptotrichiaceae. The record is from RNAcentral.